AGGACGAACGCUGGCGGCGUGCUUAACACAUGCAAGUCGAGCGGUAAGGCCCUUCGGGGUACACGAGCGGCGAACGGGUGAGUAACACGUGGGUAACCUGCCCUGUACUGUGGGAUAAGCCUGGGAAACUGGGUCUAAUACCGCAUAUGACUGCAUCCUGCAUGGGGUGUGGUGGAAAGUUCUGGCGGUACAGGAUGGGCCCGCGGCCUAUCAGCUUGUUGGUGGGGUGAUGGCCUACCAAGGCGACGACGGGUAGCCGGCCUGAGAGGGCGACCGGCCACACUGGGACUGAGACACGGCCCAGACUCCUACGGGAGGCAGCAGUGGGGAAUCUUGCGCAAUGGGCGAAAGCCUGACGCAGCGACGCCGCGUGAGGGAUGACGGCCUUCGGGUUGUAAACCUCUUUCGACCGGGACGAAGCGAGAGUGACGGUACGGUAGAAGAAGCACCGGCUAACUACGCGCCAGCAGCCGC
This 474-nucleotide ribosomal RNA is filed under the name uncultured bacterium. RNAcentral's name for it is "SSU rRNA". It matches the Rfam family "Bacterial small subunit ribosomal RNA", at positions 26 to 518 of the family's 1533-position model. The record is from RNAcentral.